This is a long non-coding RNA of Cyprinus carpio carpio, 3209 nucleotides long. The record is from Ensembl. Lineage: Eukaryota; Metazoa; Chordata; Actinopteri; Cypriniformes; Cyprinidae.
AGGUUUAAAAAUCACUCUGCCAGGAAUUCCCCUGGCUGGCAGAAGAGGAGGGUCUGGGCUUGAGUCAUUCUGGCUGAGGUGGGGUCCUACAUUUCUACAUCUGUCCUUUCAUAUCAUACAGAAGGGCUCUGUGAGAACAGCAGACAGAUAGCAAACAGACAGGGGGGAAAAAAUAAGAAAAAAAGGGAGAGUUUGGCCUAAAAUGAAAGUUAGAGAGUUCAUUACUUGUAUCACCGGACCGAGUGCAGCACAUCAUUGUAUCAGGUGAGCUCCAGAGCAAAUUUACUUUAGAAAAGCCAUACUUUAUGGAGCUGGUUAUGUGAUGCAAACGUCAAAAUGUGUUAGUUUACAAAUCAUGCACUAUAGUAAAAGUGAAUUGUGGUUAUAACACAGCAUUGUGCAAAGAAUGUUCCUGUGGCUCAGUGGUAGAGCAUUGCAUUAGCAGCCCAAAAUGUCAUGGGUUCAAUUACCAGGGAACACACAUAACUGGUAAAACAAUGUAUAACCUGAAUGCAUUGUAAGUCGCUUUGGAUAAAAGUGUCUGCUAAAUGUAAAGAAAUGUGUGAAAGUAAGUCCUUAUUAAUCAAUAUUCAACCUGUAAUCAUACUUUGCGUGAAAAGAAAUACAAGUUGUAGGUGUUUUACUGCAAAUAGUGUUAAUUUCAGCACUAAACUGCAGUGAAUAACAUGUAUUUUGGAGUUUUGCAAAAAUGUUGCUAGAAGAAUGUUUUCACAAUGGGCCUAUGUUGACUUUAACGGUGCUUUUUGUUUCUUUUUGGAGCUUAAGAGGCAGCAUAUACAUCUUCUUUUGGGUUCCACUGAAGAAAGAAACGUAAACUUGCCUGCACUUGUCUGUUUAACAUGCAAAAUGUGUGUGUGUGUGUGUGUGUGUCACCUCAUUUUUUGUCAUGUAGUCCGUGGUCACUGCAGCUGGCCCCUCCUUCUUCUAGUGUCUGAGAGACUGGGCUUCCUGUAGACUUAUAAAAAUAGCUUUUCAGUGACAGUUGGAAAUGAGGUCAGAAAGACGUGCAGUCCCUGCUGAGUGACCGUAAAAAAACAUUACACAUGUUGCUCUGUUCAAAACCCUGUGUCUCAUCUGGAGUAAAAUUUAAAGAGUGACAAAAAACAGACAAAACCUGUGAAGGAUCUAGUGAUUUCUUUAAGACAAAGUCCCAGAGGACCAGACUUGUUUCACAGUUGUAAGAGUUUAGACCUAUAAAAUCAAUGUAGAUGGCAUUAAGUUCAAUGGAUUAUACAAAUAUUGGCACAAUUUGAGACAUUACCGAGAUCUGUUCUAGAAGAGACACAUCUUUGGGAACUACAGUCUUUCUUAAGAGAAUCAGUCUCCGUUUGCUCUUCAUUUCACCUCUAUUACAGCAAUCUUUCCUACAGCUACUCAUCAGUUUGGAGUUUUUAAAGCAGAAACAUAUUUUCCAGUUGUAACAUGUCACUUUGCAUUCUCUUCAAACUAAUCUUUUCCCUCUAAACAUGUAUGAAGGAACAUUUACAGCAUCAUAACCAGUCGACAGAAUCGUUCCAGUUCCUCACAGCGUCUCGCAAUUGUCAAUACAACUGUCAGCACUGGAAAAAAAAGGACAUGAAUCUGUCCAGACGCAGGGGAACUCCUAGCUUACGUAAACCAAGAGCAUUAUGUUUAUUGCUUUACAUAAAAUAUCCCGGAUGAUGCUGCGAGUAAACCUGCCAGCUCUAAACAAAGACCUCCAUUACUUAUAGAGCACUGACUAUUUGCGGUGGUGUAUUUUUUUCAGGUUUUUUCCCCACUAACUGCGCACGAUAAGACUUUGCAGUUGAGUGUUACAGAGAGACAGUCAUUUAGAUGCUGAUCAGAGGAUACGGCCUGUCGGUUUUACACACACACAGGCCCCAAAAAACUGUUAGGACAGUAAAGCCGCAGUUAAAAAUGCCUGAAUUUCAUUUGAUAACAAGAUAUCAAAGCAAGUGCUUGUAACCUGCAUUUUAAGGAUAUUUUCUCUUUGCUAUCUUCACUUUUUUCAUCAUUUUUGCUCAGUGUUGUCCUCAUAUUCACACAGGUUUACUAUAAGAGUAACAUCAGGUGUAAUUCAUCACAUUAACUACGGCCUUCACAACCAAAAUGUUUACUUCAUCAGUAAUUCUAACGAAUAUCUGUUGUUUUAUCAUGUAAAGCCUAAGAAAACAUUUAUUUUGUGAAAUGCUUUGAUUGAAAAGUGUCCUUGUUUUAAUAAAUGACACUUGGUUUGAUGUGUAAGGGAAAGACAUUCUGACUUUUUUUGAUCUCACAUCUACACCCAAAUCAGGAUUGAACUCAAAUGUCAAGUUACCGAAAGCUGCAGAAGAGUUUAAAUGCAUGAUAUUUUCCUCUUAGAAAAAUCAUUAUGCGUUUUCCACACACAAAAAUGCGCCUUUCCAAGUUAGACUGCAUCUGAAAUGAUGCAUUAAGACCGAAUAUUGCUUUUGAAGGGCAUCUGGACCAUCUGAAGCACUGUGAUGUGUUUUCCCGAUUUUCAAAUGCUUGAAAUCAUCCACCCAAUCUAGACUUGAUGAAGUGAUGCCUCACAAACGGGAAGAUCUCUGUCCAUUAAUAUUUUCCAUCAGAUCUUUCCUUUCAGCUUUUUCCCCCCUAAAUUGAAGCCACAGUUGUUCUUUUUGCCAGUGAUCUCAGUCUUUCCUCUCACUAAAGAUGCGGUUACACCUCACAGAGGAAAAGAGCAGGAAAUACUUCUUACAGUUGUCCUCAUGAUGAGAAGUCACACUUUCAUCCUGCAGUGAUGCAGCUAAUUUUAGGGAUUGAAGAAAAAAUACCCAUAAUAUCCCAUUGGCUCUGCUGCUUGCCAGAUCCGUACAGUUGCCAUCAAAUUAGAGUUUUGGUUUAGCCGCUGUAGGUAAUCUGAUACCGGACCUUUUUAAAAAGUGGACAUAGGAUUGGAUGCACCAGUUUAGGCCCACACAGCAUCAUUAUACAUAUUCAUUAGGCAGAUGCAAAAUGACUUACAAAUGAAAAUAUAGAAUUAAACACAGGUUAAAUAUAUAUAAAAAAGUCUAAUUGUGUUGACUGAAACACCAGCAAUAUAUAUAUAUAUAUAUAAAAAAAAACUAAUUUUUUUAAAUUUAAAUUUUAUAUAAUUUUAUGUAUAUUUAUAGAACAGUAUAAUAUUAAUAUCUAAAUGCAAUAUUGUAUACAUAUCUAAAUAUUUAUACAUUAAAUGAGAA